This 605-nucleotide long non-coding RNA is filed under the name Homo sapiens (human). RNAcentral describes it as "HSALNT0231358". Lineage: Eukaryota; Metazoa; Chordata; Mammalia; Primates; Hominidae. The record is from RNAcentral.
UUGGGGGAGGGCAUCCUCAUGUGCCCUCAGGUGGCCAAGCGCCUUCAGGUGGUGCUUUCAUGGAGGGCAUCCUUACAUUUUGCACUGCAGGCACCUCGCUUGCCUCACCCUAGUCGUGGCUCCACUCUGCAUAUAUCAUCUCAUUUAAUCCUCAGAAGAAGCCUGUGUUGUAGGCUGGUAUCGUGAUUAUCAUCAUUAGCAUUUUACAGAUGGGAAAACUGGGGUGCAGAGAGGUAAAGUGAUUUGAUUUGCCUAAGUUGAGGUCCAGACUUAAACCCCAGGCCAUCCAACUUUAAAGCUAUGCUCUAACCCACGGGGCUCUGUGGGAUUCGUUUAUGGCCCAAGAAUAGCACAAAUGAAGUCUGUACUUGGCAGAGUCCUGGGGCAUCCGUAAGAGGUGCGCUGGAUGGGGCACAGGAGCAAGAACACACUGGGAGGGAGGAAGAGCGCACAGGGAGGUGGCAUUUGAGAUGAGACGAGAAGCAGCUAGGAUUUCAACAGGUGGCACUUUGGGGGAGGGCAUGCUAGGAGGAGGGAACAGGAAGUACAAGGGCCAGGGGCUAGGAAAGGGCACUGGCUGGGGACAGGCCAACAGGGGAGCACCC